GAAACUGGGUCUAAUACUGGAUAGGACCAUCCUUUAUGUGUGAUGGUGGAAAGUUUUUUCGGUUGGGGAUGAGCUCGCGGCCUAUCACUUGUUGGUGGGGUAAUGGCCUACCAAGGCGUCAACGGGUAGCCGGCCUGAAAGGGUGUACGGCCACAUUGGGACUGAAACACGGCCCAAACUCCUACGGGAGGCAGCAGUGGGGAAUAUUGCACAAUGGGCGGAAGCCUGAUGCACCGACCCCCCGUGAGGGAUGACGGCCUUCGGGUUGUAAACCUCUUUCGACAGGGACAAAGCUUUUGUGACGGUACCUGUAUAAAAAGCACCGGCUAACUACGUGCCACCACCCGCGGUAAUACGUAGGGUGCGAGCGUUGUCCGGAAUUACUGGGCGUAAAGAGCUCGUAGGUGGUUUGUCGCGUCGUCUGUGAAAUUCCGGGGCUUAACUCCGGGCGUGCAGGCGAUACGGGCAUAACUUGAGUGCUGUAGGGGAGACUGGAAUUCCUGGUGUAGCGGUGAAAUGCGCAAAUAUCAGGAGGAACACCGAUGGCGAAGGCAGGUCUCUGGGCAGUAACUGACGCUGAGGAGCGAAAGCAUGGGGAGCGAACAGGAUUAGAUACCCUGGUAGUCCAUGCCGUAACGGUGGGCGCUAGGUGUAGGGGACUUCCACGUCUUCUGUGCCGUAGCUAACGCAUUAAGGCGCCCCGCCUGGGGAGUACGGCCGCAAGGCUAAAACUCAAAGGAAUUGACGGGGGCCCGCACA
RNAcentral lists this ribosomal RNA (759 nucleotides) under Corynebacterium argentoratense. RNAcentral's name for it is "bacterial SSU rRNA". It matches the Rfam family "Bacterial small subunit ribosomal RNA", at positions 153 to 927 of the family's 1533-position model. Lineage: Bacteria; Bacillati; Actinomycetota; Actinomycetes; Mycobacteriales; Corynebacteriaceae. The record is from RNAcentral.